CUUGUUUUGCCUGUUUCUUGUUUAGCGUGUGUGAGCCUAACGAGACUGUGUUGAUCGCAGAGCAGGCAACAGAUGGCACACAGACAGCAGAGUUGGGGACAGAUAUGCAGGGACAGACUGGCAGACAGGGAGUCUCAGGACCUUGAGCGUGGCUGAGGUGCACCCAGGACCAGCUCGGAAACCAGGUUGCAUAGCGGAGAAGGUACGGAGGGAUUCAAAAUGUGCAGCUGAAAGACAGCGGCAAUACAGAGAACGACGUAAUGCUGCCCCAGAAAGGAGAGUAUCUAGAGAAAGAGAGGGAGGAAAGAUAAAAGAGACUGGGAAGAAGAAGGCAAUAGCUGAACUCAGUGACAGAGUGCAGCAUGCAGAAAGGAAGAAAUGGAGAGAUUCAAACAGGAUACUCAGAGCCAGGGUCAAGACUAGUGCAUUGCUGCAGUCUGCAGAGAUGCCAUUAAAGGAACGAUGAAGAUUAAUCAGGUUAUCAGUGUCUCACCAGGCCAGAUAAAAUACUUGUCUGUGCAGAAGGAUAGUGGCAUGUUGGACUGUCCUUGUUUUCAGCUCAAAGAGGCAACUCUGGGUGACCCUGCAGCAUCUAACCAGCUCCCUACAUCUCAUGACGAGGCUGACACCACAUGGCGACCUGGAACCAUUGAACUUAAUCACGUAGGGGAGUGGUGUGUUGUCAAUUAUGACCAUGAAGGAUACCCUGGCAUCAUCAUAGAUGUAGAGGAACAUAACAUUAAGGUGAAGUGCAUGCACCUGAAUGGCAUCAACAAAUUCUUCUGGCCAAGUCCAAAGGAAGAUAUUUGUUGGUACUCUGAUGGACAGAUAAUUUGUCAGAUGCCAGAGCCAUGGGCUGUUAAUAAACACUCUGUACAGAUGGAAAGAUCCACCUGGAAGUACGUGGAAGAGCAUUUGGGGUGAAAGGGGGGACGGAUGGAAAUUGGGGGAGAGGAAGAGAGGGAGAGGAAUGUGUUUUAAUGCUAAUUCCAAUGAUUUUUCUACUGGCAAUGUAUUUUUGUGUUGUUUUUCACAAUGAAUACAGUUGAAGUCGGAAGUUUACAUACACUUAGGUUGGAGUCAUUAAAACUCGUUUUUCAACCACUCCACAAAUUUCUUUUUAACAAACUAUAGUAUGGGCAAGUCGGUUAGGAAAUCUACUUUGUGCAUGACACACAUCAUUUUUACAACAAUUGUUCACAGAC
RNAcentral lists this long non-coding RNA (1205 nucleotides) under Salmo salar (Atlantic salmon). RNAcentral's name for it is "lncRNA (ENSSSAG00000114032.1)". Lineage: Eukaryota; Metazoa; Chordata; Actinopteri; Salmoniformes; Salmonidae. The record is from RNAcentral.